GCUACGUCACGUCAAAAACAUCGGCAGCAAACCAGGAAGGAUGGACAUAUUGAUGUUUGUCAAUGAUCAAAUUAAAGGGUUCAGAAUUUAAAAAGACUUUUCUGAACCGUCCAAGGACGCAGAGCCUGGAGAUGUAAUCAUUUUACGUAAUGACAGAAUACUAAGGGCGCCUACCUAUCAUGCUGGAGUUUGUUGUGCUGAUGGAGAGGUCAUACACUUGUCAGAUAGCAGUGGAGGUGUGAUGAAAUCAAAACCUGGAAAUGUUUGUAGGCAAAAUAUUAAUGGGUUUACACAAGGAAAACCAUACAGGCUUUUGCAGAAAGAAGAUCCCCUCCCUGCUUCAUUUGAAACCAAAGUCAAGCAAGCAAUGAAUUCAGACCAAUGUCAUGAUAAAACAAAACACAAUUGCAUUGACUUUUCUCUUGAUCUGAUUGAAUUCAAGUCGAAGAAUUUGACCAAUUCAAGUUCUGCAAAACUUCAAGGAUCAACACCUGAAGAUCAUAAGGAGGGUUUUCCUUCUCACCAGACACAGCACCCAUCACCAAUCAAGGACAACUCUGAAGGAUGUACUGAGGACAGGAUCCCUCUUGUAUCCCCACCUCCACAGAAUGUUGGAGAACCUCCACAGGACUAUGAAUCCAUUAAGCAGAAACUGUAAUGGAUCACCACCACUAAGCAUGGAUGAGGAAGAAGGAAGAUUUAAUCAAAUCAAAGUUGAUCUGUAUAGUCCUUUUUAUUUAAUGCUUCACAGACGCUUGACCUAAAAUCUUAAUUACAGCCCAAUAAAACUUGCUUACAUAUUUUUCUUUUUAUUGCAGUAAUGUGUGUUCUAACAUGCCAGUAAAACAUCACAAAUUAAAGCUAAUUAUGAGGAAUGUCUUUCAGAAGGCUCUGAAGGUGCUCAUGCACUUACCCCAAGUGGAAAUGUUUUAUGUAUAAGAAGAAAUUAGAAAACUAGCUAACACAGCCUCAUAGUGGCUGUAGUAUGUAUGUGGGUUUUGUAAAGUGACAACAUGUGUGGGUGUCCUCUGGAUUGAUAAACGGAAUAAUCAAAAUAAACACAUAAUUAAUAUGCUAAUAAAUACAAUUUACAACGA
Molecule: long non-coding RNA, 1097 nt
Organism: Osmerus eperlanus (European smelt)
Lineage: Eukaryota; Metazoa; Chordata; Actinopteri; Osmeriformes; Osmeridae
Exons: 6
Source: RefSeq, a predicted model, not a curated record